CAGGCGCGAAAACUUUACAAUGCGGGCAACCGUGAUAAGGGAACCUCGAGUGCCUGUAUAUGCAGGCUGUCCAGGUGUCUAAAACACACCUGAAGAAAGGGCCGGGCAAGACCGGUGCCAGCCGCCGCGGUAAUACCGGCGGCUCGAGUGGUGGCCGCUUUUAUUGGGCUUAAAGCGUUCGUAGCUGGGUCGUUAAGUCUCUUGGGAAAUCCGGCAGCUUAACUGUCGGGCGUCUAAGGGAUACUGGCGAUCUUGGAACCGGGAGAGGUGAGGGGUACUUCAGGGGUAGGAGUGAAAUCCUGUAAUCCUUGAGGGACCACCUGUGGCGAAGGCGCCUCACCAGAACGGCUUCGACAGUGAGGGACGAAAGCUGGGGGAGCAAACCGGAUUAGAUACCCGGGUAGUCCCAGCCGUAAACGAUGUGCGUUAGGUGUAUCGACGACCACGAGUCGUCGAGGUGCCGAAGGGAAACCGUGAAACGUACCGCCUGGGAAGUACGGUCGCAAGGCUGAAACUUAAAGGAAUUGGCGGGGGAGCACCACAACAGGUGGAGCCUGCGGUUUAAUUGGACUCAACGCCGGGAAGCUCACCGGAUAAGACAGCUGAAUGAUUGCCGGGCUGAAGACUCUGCAUGACUAGCUGAGAGGAGGUGCAUGGCCGUCGUCAGUUCGUACUGUGAAGCAU
This 684-nucleotide ribosomal RNA is filed under the name Methanoculleus sp. Annu2. RNAcentral's name for it is "bacterial SSU rRNA". It matches the Rfam family "Archaeal small subunit ribosomal RNA", at positions 336 to 1024 of the family's 1478-position model. RNAcentral also lists the same sequence under 1 other name. The record is from RNAcentral. Lineage: Archaea; Methanobacteriati; Methanobacteriota; Methanomicrobia; Methanomicrobiales; Methanomicrobiaceae.